RNAcentral lists this ribosomal RNA (228 nucleotides) under Paenacidovorax caeni. RNAcentral describes it as "Acidovorax caeni partial 16S ribosomal RNA". It matches the Rfam family "Bacterial small subunit ribosomal RNA", at positions 965 to 1197 of the family's 1533-position model. The record is from RNAcentral. Lineage: Bacteria; Pseudomonadati; Pseudomonadota; Betaproteobacteria; Burkholderiales; Comamonadaceae.
AAAACCUUACCCACCUUUGACAUGUACGGAAUCCUUUAGAGAUAGAGGAGUGCUCGAAAGAGAGCCGUAACACAGGUGCUGCAUGGCUGUCGUCAGCUCGUGUCGUGAGAUGUUGGGUUAAGUCCCGCAACGAGCGCAACCCUUGCCAUUAGUUGCUACGAAAGGGCACUCUAAUGGGACUGCCGGUGACAAACCGGAGGAAGGUGGGGAUGACGUCAAGUCCUCAUG